UCGGCGCUACCAUGCAGUCGAGCGGUAAGGCCUUUCGGGGUACACGAGCGGCGAACGGGUGAGUAACACGUGGGUGAUCUGCCCUGCACUUCGGGAUAAGCCUGGGAAACUGGGUCUAAUACCGGAUAUGACCUCCUAUCGCAUGGUGGGUGGUGGAAAGAUUUAUCGGUGCAGGAUGGGCCCGCGGCCUAUCAGCUUGUUGGUGGGGUAAUGGCCUACCAAGGCGACGACGGGUAGCCGACCUGAGAGGGUGACCGGCCACACUGGGACUGAGACACGGCCCAGACUCCUACGGGAGGCAGCAGUGGGGAAUAUUGCACAAUGGGCGAAAGCCUGAUGCAGCGACGCCGCGUGAGGGAUGACGGCCUUCGGGUUGUAAACCUCUUUCAGCAGGGACGAAGCGCAAGUGACGGUACCUGCAGAAGAAGCACCGGCUAACUACGUGCCAGCAGCCGCGGUAAUACGUAGGGUGCAAGCGUUGUCCGGAAUUACUGGGCGUAAAGAGUUCGUAGGCGGUUUGUCGCGUCGUUUGUGAAACCAGCAGCUCAACUGCUGGCUUGCAGGCGAUACGGGCAGACUUGAGUACUGCAGGGGAGACUGGAAAUUCCUGGUGUAGCGGUGAAAUGCGCAGAUUCAUGAGGAACAACCGGUGGCGAAGGCCGGAUCUCUUGGGCAGUACCUGAACCCUUGA
RNAcentral lists this ribosomal RNA (691 nucleotides) under Rhodococcus sp. PON11. RNAcentral's name for it is "bacterial SSU rRNA". It matches the Rfam family "Bacterial small subunit ribosomal RNA", at positions 43 to 752 of the family's 1533-position model. Lineage: Bacteria; Bacillati; Actinomycetota; Actinomycetes; Mycobacteriales; Nocardiaceae. The record is from RNAcentral.